This 232-nucleotide ribosomal RNA is filed under the name uncultured bacterium. Its description in RNAcentral is "partial 16S ribosomal RNA". It matches the Rfam family "Bacterial small subunit ribosomal RNA", at positions 100 to 334 of the family's 1533-position model. The record is from RNAcentral.
CGGGACGGGCGAGUAAUGUCUGGGAAACUGCCUGAUGGAGGGGGGUAACUACUGGAAACGGUAGCUAAUACCGCAUAACGUCGCAAGACCAAAGAGGGGGACCUUCGGGCCUCUUGCCAUCGGAUGUGCCCAGAUGGGAUUAGCUAGUAGGUGGGGUAACGGCUCACCUAGGCGACGAUCCCUAGCUGGUCUGAGAGGAUGACCAGCCACACUGGACUGAGACACGGUCCAG